Molecule: ribosomal RNA, 375 nt
Filed under: Colosius confusus
Lineage: Eukaryota; Metazoa; Mollusca; Gastropoda; Systellommatophora; Veronicellidae
Description: partial 16S ribosomal RNA
Rfam family: Bacterial large subunit ribosomal RNA
Source: RNAcentral
GCCCGGUGAAAAUAUUAAACGGCCGCAGUACUCUGACUGUGCUAAGGUAGCAUAAUAAGUUGACUUUUAAUUGAAGUCUGGAAUAAACGGGGUAACGGAGAAAACCUGUCUCAGAAUAAAAACUUUUAAAUUAAUAAAAAGGUGAAAAUACCUUUAUUUUGAAAAAAGACGAGAAGACCCUAAGAAUUUUAAGAAAAAUUUCAUGAUCUUUUUACUGGGGCGGUGAAGAAUCAAUUAAAAACAUUCUCUAUUUUGUUUAUUGUAUCAAAUAUUAUUUUAAAAAUUUAAAUUACCUUAGGGAUAACAGCAUAAUUUAUUUUUAAGUUUGUGACCUCGAUGUUGGACUAGGAAAUUUUAAGAUUAGCCAUCAUAAAA